Molecule: transfer RNA, 87 nt
Filed under: Salmo salar (Atlantic salmon)
Lineage: Eukaryota; Metazoa; Chordata; Actinopteri; Salmoniformes; Salmonidae
Rfam family: tRNA
About the family: Transfer RNA (tRNA) molecules are approximately 80 nucleotides in length. Their secondary structure includes four short double-helical elements and three loops (D, anti-codon, and T loops). Further hydrogen bonds mediate the characteristic L-shaped molecular structure. tRNAs have two regions of fundamental functional importance: the anti-codon, which is responsible for specific mRNA codon recognition, and the 3' end, to which the tRNAs corresponding amino acid is attached (by aminoacyl-tRNA synthetases). tRNAs cope with the degeneracy of the genetic code in two manners: having more than one tRNA (with a specific anti-codon) for a particular amino acid; and 'wobble' base-pairing, i.e. permitting non-standard base-pairing at the 3rd anti-codon position.
Source: Rfam by way of RNAcentral
CCUUCGAUAGCUCAGUUAGUGGAGCGGAGGACUGUAGGUUAAAUAACAGUGGUCCUUAGGUCGCUGGUUCAAAUCCGGCUCGAAGGA